This 747-nucleotide long non-coding RNA is filed under the name Marmota monax (woodchuck). The record is from RNAcentral. Lineage: Eukaryota; Metazoa; Chordata; Mammalia; Rodentia; Sciuridae.
UCACACCUCCCCACGCCCCUCCCUCGGCACCUCUGGCAGGUGCUAGUGCCGUUAUUAAUAGGAAGCUGCCCGGGAGCAGCCGGCUGCUUCAGGGGCAUCCAUCUCCCUGGGAGCAGCUGUCACCCCGGCUCUGCACGGUGGUGGUGCGCUGGGCUGGAGCUGAACUUGACCCCUUCCCUCCCGCCUCCCCACCUCCCAGUGCUGGCAUACGGAGGCCCUGGGCAGAGGAAGCUAAGCUGCCCGGCGGGGGUGCCCAGGCACCUUCCUCCCAGGUGAAAGGAUCAUCCACUCGCUCGACACGUACCGGGCACUGUGCUGAGUCCCAGGUCAGAGCAGGGCCAGACACGGUCCCUGCCCUCCUGGAGCUGCCUGGCAUUGGGGGAGGUGGAAAGGAAAUGAGUAGACUCCCUGGGGCACCAGGAGAGAGCCUCCAAGAGGUGACAAGGAAAGAGGGGGGCAGAGAGAAGGGCGAGGACAAGGGUGGCGGGCAGAGCUCUGGCUGCACAGGGCACCUGGGGUCAAAGGGCAGGGCCAGCGCAGGAAGCUGGAGAAGGAAGAAGCAGGAAGCUCUCAGGGGACCAGGCUUGGGUCCUCCUGGAAGGAGCAUCGGAGGCCAUCGGUUUGUUCUUUUAAAAGUCACUCCAGCUGGGCUGGGGCUGUAGCUCGGGGGCAGAGGGCUGGCCUGGCAUGUGUGAGACACUGAGCUCCAUCCUUAGCACCACAUAAAAAUAAAACAAAUGAAAUAAA